CCUACGGGAGGCUGCAGUGGGGGAUAUUGCACAAUGGGGGGAACCCUGAUGCAGCGACGCCGCGUGGGUGAAGAAGCGCCUCGGCGCGUAAAGCCCUGUCAGCAGGGAAGAAAAUGACGGUACCUGAAGAAGAAGCCCCGGCUAACUACGUGCCAGCAGCCGCGGUAAUACGGAGGGGGCAAGCGUUAUCCGGAUUUACGGGGUGUAAUGGGGGCGCAGGCGGCGAUGCAAGCCAGGAGUGAAAGCCCGGGGCCCAACCCCGGGACUGCCCUUGGAACUGCGGGGCUGGAGGGCAGGAGGGGCAGGCGGAAUUCCUGGUGUAGCGGUGAAAUGCGUAGAUAUCAGGAGGAACACCGGUGGCGAAGGCGGCCUGCUGGACUGCAACUGACGUUGAGGCCCGAAAGCGUGGGGAGCAAACAGGAUUAGAUACCCCAGUAGUC
This 440-nucleotide ribosomal RNA is filed under the name uncultured bacterium. RNAcentral describes it as "partial 16S ribosomal RNA". It matches the Rfam family "Bacterial small subunit ribosomal RNA", at positions 338 to 795 of the family's 1533-position model. The record is from RNAcentral.